UACGGGGGGGGCAAGCGUUGUUCGGAAUUACUGGGCGUAAAGGGCUCGUAGGUGGCCAACUAAGUCAGACGUGAAAUCCCUCGGCUUAACCGGGGAACUGCGUCUGAUACUGGAUGGCUUGAGUUUGGGAGAGGGACGCGGAAUUCCAGGUGUAGCGGUGAAAUGCGUAGAUAUCUGGAGGGACACCGGUGGCGAAGGCGGCGUCCUGGACCAACACUGACACUGAGGAGCGAAAGCCAGGGGAGCAAACGGG
Molecule: ribosomal RNA, 253 nt
Filed under: uncultured bacterium
Lineage: Bacteria
Description: partial 16S ribosomal RNA
Rfam family: Bacterial small subunit ribosomal RNA
Source: RNAcentral